UUUGCAAAAGGUCACAUUACUACUUUGAUAAAGCAAGAUUUAUGUCAACAACUCACUCUUUCACACUUGAAACUUGUCCCUAAAGAUCACAAAUAAUCUUAAGAUAUCAGAAGCAACCUUGUAAAGGCUAGGGAAAUAUGACAAACUCCUUGAAACUCAACUAUUCAUGCAAACUUCUCAUUCAUUCUCAACCAAAACCAUAACUUCACAACUUUUAUUUCUAUAAAUAGAGGGAUACCUUAAGCCUCAAAACUCACAACAAUAACCCCUCAACACUUCAUCAAAC
This 286-nucleotide long non-coding RNA is filed under the name Lathyrus oleraceus (garden pea). RNAcentral's name for it is "Pisum sativum (pea) long non-coding RNA (PSAT_LNC042398)". The record is from RNAcentral. Lineage: Eukaryota; Viridiplantae; Streptophyta; Magnoliopsida; Fabales; Fabaceae.